UUUAAACACUGGUUCCCGUGCGAUCAGCAAAGUUAAGCAAUGAUGAGCCUGAUCAGUACAUAGAUGGGUGACCGAUUGUGAUUACCAGGUGCCGUA
This is a non-coding RNA of Acanthosepion pharaonis, 96 nucleotides long. The record is from the annotation of a GenBank genome assembly. NCBI's taxonomy places the organism in Eukaryota, Metazoa, Mollusca, Cephalopoda, Sepiida, Sepiidae.